GGAGCUUUAGCUCAGCUGGUUAGAGCAGUCGGCUCAUAACCGAUCGGUCCCGGGUUCGAGUCCCCGAAGCUCCAC
Molecule: transfer RNA, 75 nt
Filed under: Fusobacterium naviforme
Lineage: Bacteria; Fusobacteriati; Fusobacteriota; Fusobacteriia; Fusobacteriales; Fusobacteriaceae
Description: tRNA-Met(cat)
Rfam family: tRNA
About the family: Transfer RNA (tRNA) molecules are approximately 80 nucleotides in length. Their secondary structure includes four short double-helical elements and three loops (D, anti-codon, and T loops).
Source: RNAcentral